GUGGAGCGACGAACCAGGGCUUGCCCUGGGGCAGAGCCGCGAACGGGUGAGUAACACGUGGGUUACCUGCCCCGAUGACUGGGACAACCCGAGGAAACUCGGGCUAAUACCGGAUGUGCCCGCAAGGGGAAAGGAAGCUUCGGCCUCCGCAUUGGGAUGGGCCCGCGGCCCAUUAGCUUGUUGGUGAGGUAACGGCUCACCAAGGCUUCGAUGGGUAGCUGGUCUGAGAGGACAAUCAGCCACACUGGGACUGAGACACGGCCCAGACUCCUACGGGAGGCAGCAGUGGGGAAUCUUGCGCAAUGCGCGAAAGCGUGACGCAGCAACGCCGCGUGGGGGAAGAAGGCUCUCGGGUUGUAAACCCCUUUCAGUUGGGACGAAGCUUCGCCGGUGAAUAGCCGGCCGGAGUGACGGUACCUUCACAAGAAGCACCGGCUAACUACGUGCCAGCAGCCGCGGUAAUACGUAGGGUGCAAGCGUUGUCCGGAAUUAUUGGGCGUAAAGAGCGUGUAGGCGGCCCGAUUAGUCCGCUGUGAAAGUCUAGGGCUCAACCCUGGAAUGCCGGUGGAUACUGUCGGGCUAGAGUCCGGAAGGGGCGAGUGGAAUUCCUGGUGUAGCGGUGAAAUGCGCAGAUAUCAGGAGGAACACCAAUGGCGAAGGCAGCUCGCUGGGACGUGACUGACGCUGAGACGCGAAAGCGUG
RNAcentral lists this ribosomal RNA (702 nucleotides) under uncultured Actinomycetes bacterium. RNAcentral's name for it is "bacterial SSU rRNA". It matches the Rfam family "Bacterial small subunit ribosomal RNA", at positions 61 to 763 of the family's 1533-position model. Lineage: Bacteria; Bacillati; Actinomycetota; Actinomycetes. The record is from RNAcentral.